AAGACAGUAGCUCAGUGUAUCCAAUUAUCCAUACAAUGUAAAAGGUCAUGAACAUACUAGACGCAAUAUUAUCACCAUUUAUAGUACAAUAAACUCAGAUCUUACAGUACAAAUUGACAUUAUCAGACAAUGCAGGAAACUGUGUGUUUUCUCUCAGCCAUAUCAUACACCAAAAGCACAGUGCCCAGCAAAUGUGAAACCAGACUUGUUACCGGUGAGUAUGAGGAGGUCAUCGCUACCUAUCACAACUGCACGAGUAGGUCAUCAUUUGUAAUCUGGCACAACACUGCAAGGAGGUCGGCAUCAUUGAUCCUGAAAUUUUAAGUAUUGUUUGGUGAAGUUAACUCAAACAAUAAUAUGUCUAAGAACGACCAGACUACAAGUGAAGCUUAUGAUUACAAAUACAUAAUCUAAACAUUGAGUUUAAAUAUUUAAGUUCAGAACAUAAAUGUAAUAUGAUUAUGUCCAUCACAUUCCUAUGCUUUCAUGAUGAAUUAUACACUUAAUAGCUACCAACAAGCAUAGGCAAUUAUGUAUGACAAACUAAAAGAAUUUCUGCUCAACACGUGUACUGGGUUUAACUUUUACAAUAAAGUAAAUUACAAGAUAUACCAUAAGAAUUAAUAUCCCAAGGAGCAGAUCAUUGUACUUUUUUGGUCCAACAAAACAUGUAUGCAAGAGCAUGACUAGUGUAUUCAACAAGGUGUGGUGUAGCUAGGGAGUCCAAGCGAGGUGACAUGUAGUUUCUCACAAGCACGAGCUCAGAGCAAGCAAACAGAGGUGGGGAGAAGAGAGCUCACCAUGGCUCUCAUGUAGCUGAUGCCAAAGAGGCGGCAUGUCUGUUCAACAGAAGAUGCUGGGGCCGAGUGAGCCUACCACGGCACACCUCGAUGAGCCCACCCUUGUACUCUGCAAAUCCUGUUGCCGCUGGACAUGACGGACAAGAGACAUAACAAGAUAAUGUUGAUCAAAUCUAAGGAUAAAUAAUGUCCUGGAACAAAGGAGCAGCUUAGAUAGCUCACAUUUCAUGUCCUGGAAAUCAUGUCGAGGUACACCAAACAACACCUAUCAAUGCUCAGCAGCUGCACCUUGAUACACAGAGUGAAAAAAAGAGGUCAAUCACCUCCACAAAGAGCAGCACCUUGAGAAGGAAUUGUACAAGGAAUUGUGCCAGCUGCCAAAGAAGACAGGGCUCUCUGCUUCAUUCAUUCUAGACUAUUUGCAAUUUUAGUUUGGUUUAGAGUUAGAAAUGAAUCUUGAACAAAAAGGAAAAGAAAAGGUGUUCGUCAUAUUUGUUCUUCAUACAAGAAACUGAACCAACAAGUUGUUUCAGUCAGAGCUAACUCAAUAUUUACGUAGAGAGGUCAGGUUUGCUGAAACUAAAUCAAAGUGAAUACCAUGAUGAUCAUAACUUUAUUUGAGUUUUUUCUAUACUCCUUAAAAUUAGAAACUGAAUUCUUAGAUCAGGAUUCAUGUCAUCUAGAUAUUAAAAUCAGAAAGCUCAAAUACAUAUUUUGGAAGCAAAUCUGUUUUUUCUAUACUCCUUGUAAUCCUUAAAAUCAGAAAGACAAUGGAAGAACUUUGAGAGAACUAUUUUUUUCUCAAGUUUGUAGAGCUAUGACUACAUAUUUUGGAGGCAAGGUUGUCCCUGUACUAAGGAGAGCAAGCUAGCUCAAAUACAUAAGAACACCUUUAAGCUUUAUAUUGAUUCCCUGAUUUGUUGGAACUACGAAAUCGCUAGUUCUGAAUUCCAACAUGAUAGCUGCAUAGUCCAACUAGCUACACUAGGAGCUACAGAGUAUGCCUACUCAUACUAUCUUCAGAUCGAGCUAAUUUCAUGGCACAGAUGGCUGAUGCAAUCAAAUUUGGGCUAAUAAACUGAAUAGUAAUCGAACCUUCCUUUCUCUGCUUCCCCUAGUUCCACACUAAAAGAGGAGGUAGCCUGUGUUUCGGCUGCAGCAGACAGGAGAGAGCAGAGGGCAGAGAGACGUGGUACCGAAGAGGAGGCAGUCGCAGUCGGGGCGGCCAUUGUCGUCGUACUUGGUGCAGAGGGCGGCGGAGGAGUUCGGUGUCGCCGCUGUCCAGCCAAUGCACGCGAGCGCACCAAGCUAUGGGGGCGCCAUCCAGGAGGCGCAAAGGGCGCCAGGGGGCACGGUGGGCGAUGGAGAGGAGCCGCCUGAGACACGUCGUCGAUGGACGCAGCGCUGGAGCCGAAACCCUAGCCACGGGCUAGGGGUCACGACGAGCUUCGGAUAGCGGGAGGGG
Molecule: long non-coding RNA, 2265 nt
Filed under: Triticum aestivum (bread wheat)
Lineage: Eukaryota; Viridiplantae; Streptophyta; Magnoliopsida; Poales; Poaceae
Description: long non-coding RNA (TAES_LNC026273)
Source: RNAcentral